GAGCCUGCGGCCCAUCAGCUAGUUGGUAGGGUAACGGCCUACCAAGGCAAAGACGGGUAGCUGGUCUGAGAGGAUGAUCAGCCACACUGGAACUGAGACACGGUCCAGACUCCUACGGGAGGCAGCAGUGGGGAAUCUUGCGCAAAUGGGGCGAAAGCCUGACGCAGCGACGCCGCGUGAGCGAUGAAGGCCUUCGGGGUUGUAAAAGCUCUGUGGAGGGGGACGAAUAAGGGCACGCUAAUACCGUGUUUGAUGACGGUACCCCUUUAGCAAGCACCGGCUAACUCUGUGCCAGCAGCCGCGGUAAGACAGAGGGUGCAAACGUUGUUCGGAAUUACUGGGCGUAAAGCGCGUGUAGGCUGUUCGGAAAGUCGGAUGUGAAAGCCCCCGGGGCUCAACCCCGGGAAGUGCAUUCGAAACUUCCGAGCUGGAGUCCUGGAGAGGAAGGCG
Molecule: ribosomal RNA, 450 nt
Filed under: uncultured bacterium
Lineage: Bacteria
Description: bacterial SSU rRNA
Rfam family: Bacterial small subunit ribosomal RNA
Source: RNAcentral